Molecule: long non-coding RNA, 1262 nt
Filed under: Ursus maritimus (polar bear)
Lineage: Eukaryota; Metazoa; Chordata; Mammalia; Carnivora; Ursidae
Description: lncRNA (ENSUMAG00000000939.1)
Source: RNAcentral
CCUGCCAGAGCCCCGGGAGCUGCCCUGCCAAGACCUAUCCUGGGAGAGCUAUUGAAAGAGCCUCGAGAAAAGGGUCAGGGGACCCAGGGGAAGAGACCGAAGAGGUGGUAUAAUUGAGCCCAAGAGAAGUGACUUGCCCAAGGUUCAGCACUCUCCAAGAGGAAAUAGCAAAGCCAGAAUUAGGCUUAGAUUUUCUGCUCACCAGUCCAGAAACCCGCCUCACCAUGUUGCUCCAAACACAUUUUGAGGCUUUUAUCGGGACCAGAGAAGAUGUGAUGAUGUUGGAGCACAAAGACAUUGAACUGCUGGCUGAUGUCACGAGUAGCAGAGGGAGAGCGCACAGCAGGCCUCUCCCUGCCCCGGGGCCAAGCUUCUCCUCUGGUCCACCCACCGCCUCCCAUCUUCUCCAGAUCCUUCCCAUCCUCCGAGGAGGCCGCCCUCCAGCCCCGCUCUCGGAACACCUGCCCCUCGGUGGGGGACACUCACCAGAUCCGCUUCACAUGUGCAGCCCCUGGAGACACACCACAGAUGCACGUGGAGUCUCAGGGCCCCUUAGACACCAGGACCGGCCCCACGUGCCUCAGCGGCCUGUCAGCUGGUCUGUUGGUGUCUGGCAUACCUUAAGAAUGAAGCGAUUAUGUUUCCUCUUAAUCACAAACCGCUUCGGAGGGGAUGAAAGAUGUCCUGAAGUUUCUUUGCGUGAAGUGUCUUAAUCUUGCAAAGGUUGGUUUUGGUUUCCAUUGAUUGAAAACAAAAAUAGAUGCCAACUGAAGGCUUCUUGGACAGGAAUGAAUGGAUUUCCAAUCUGCGUUUUCUUGUUUACCCUGGAAAAUAUGCAAUCCAAGGGAAACACAGGUGGUUAAACUGUUCGGUGCCUCUGUUUUGAUCAUACGCAGAGGGCUCUAAGCAUUCACACGCAAAUAUUUUAAGUCAUACAGAAGGAAGACUAACUUUUCAGGGUUCCAGGACUUUAGGUUUCCUAGGGUAUAUUUAAGUUCUUCUCUUUCAGCCAUCUAUGGAAAAACACCUUUCAGAUCCAAUACAGACUGAAUUCCAGAACAACUGAAAAACCAAAAAAGCUCACAAUUGGCGCUGAAAAGCAGCAUCUCUCUUCCCUUAGGGUCUUUCUGCUUUGCUUUUGCAUCCCUUUUGUUUUGCAAAAAAUACUGUCUUCGGUGGGGAGAGGGAAGCCUGCUCCCCGGCCGCUUAGUUGGGAAACGGAGCUGGGGACCGAGACGCAGCAGGUCCCUGGAGCAGGCGGC